UUUAUGGAGAGUUUGAUCCUGGCUCAGGAUGAACGCUGGCGGCGUGCCUAAUACAUGCAAGUCGAGCGAACGGACGAGAAGCUUGCUUCUCUGAUGUUAGCGGCGGACGGGUGAGUAACACGUGGAUAACCUACCUAUAAGACUGGGAUAACUUCGGGAAACCGGAGCUAAUACCGGAUAAUAUUUUGAACCGCAUGGUUCAAAAGUGAAAGACGGUCUUGCUGUCACUUAUAGAUGGAUCCGCGCUGCAUUAGCUAGUUGGUAAGGUAACGGCUUACCAAGGCAACGAUGCAUAGCCGACCUGAGAGGGUGAUCGGCCACACUGGAACUGAGACACGGUCCAGACUCCUACGGGAGGCAGCAGUAGGGAAUCUUCCGCAAUGGGCGAAAGCCUGACGGAGCAACGCCGCGUGAGUGAUGAAGGUCUUCGGAUCGUAAAACUCUGUUAUUAGGGAAGAACAUAUGUGUAAGUAACUGUGCACAUCUUGACGGUACCUAAUCAGAAAGCCACGGCUAACUACGUGCCAGCAGCCGCGGUAAUACGUAGGUGGCAAGCGUUAUCCGGAAUUAUUGGGCGUAAAGCGCGCGUAGGCGGUUUUUUAAGUCUGAUGUGAAAGCCCACGGCUCAACCGUGGAGGGUCAUUGGAAACUGGAAAACUUGAGUGCAGAAGAGGAAAGUGGAAUUCCAUGUGUAGCGGUGAAAUGCGCAGAGAUAUGGAGGAACA
RNAcentral lists this ribosomal RNA (725 nucleotides) under Staphylococcus aureus. Its description in RNAcentral is "bacterial SSU rRNA". It matches the Rfam family "Bacterial small subunit ribosomal RNA", at positions 1 to 708 of the family's 1533-position model. The record is from RNAcentral. Lineage: Bacteria; Bacillati; Bacillota; Bacilli; Caryophanales; Staphylococcaceae.